This 1443-nucleotide long non-coding RNA is filed under the name Mizuhopecten yessoensis (Yesso scallop). RNAcentral's name for it is "uncharacterized LOC110444883, transcript variant X2". The record is from RNAcentral. Lineage: Eukaryota; Metazoa; Mollusca; Bivalvia; Pectinida; Pectinidae.
AUCCAAGAUGGCGGCGACCAGUAGUAAAUUGACAGAUGGCAGUUUUAUAUACUUAAUUUGGUUAUAAGACUGCUUUUAAAAGGAUUUCCCAGCACAGCUACCUCAACCCACAAGUUGACCAGUCAGAGGAAGCCUUCUCCUGGUUGCGACCUGACCUUGACCUUCUCCGAGAUUAAGAGAGAAAUUUGGCUGGAGGAAAGAAAAAGGUGGACGAGAAUCUCCUUCCUGUGAUGAAGAAGAUGAACGAGAAACAGAGACCAUCAACUUCAAGAUAAACAUAUGAAGCACACUGAUGCUGCUCCUGCAGAUAGAGAUGAUACUCAUCAGCCUAUUCCUAUUCAGGACCAUGACUAUGUGACAGACCCUCUUCCGCUGUCGGAUGCAGAGAAGCUGGAGCUCUCAACACAGUACAUUGCAACACUUAAAGCUAGGCUGCAGGCAAAAAUUAAUCAAAGGUGGAGUCAUCCGAGAAGAAAUUGCCCAUCGAUGACAAAAUCAAUUUUACGACGUAGCACAUGUACACGUACCAGGAAAGUUUACGAAUAGUUGGAGGCCAAUUUCAGGAUGGUUGUACCACAAAGAUAUAAUCUACCAUUGACACGAUAUAUAUGUUUUAGUUAAGCGCAUGGAAAUAAAAUAGAUCGUUUUUUUUAGGAAAUAAAUGUCUCAUACAAAUAUUCAUAAACAUCACAAAUCCGGAUAAUGUUUUUUUUUGUGUAUCGAGAAUCGCUUAAUAUUUAAAUACAAUGUAUCCCUCAAUACUUUUGUUUCAUAUGAAACCAGUAUAUUAGUUAACAAUAAUAUCACAUCGUACACUGUGUAUGUCAGUAGACCGCAUUUGUUUUAGGAAAAUAAAUGUAUCCGUUUUACAGAGUUGUUUCAUAAUUUUGUAUAUUCGACCAUCACACAUCCAGAUAAUGGAUUUUUAUGUGUAUCGAGAAAUGCUUAACAUUUAAAUAAAAUGUAUCUUUUGUUUCAUAUUGAAAUGAAGCUAGUAAAUGAGAUAAUAAUAAUAUCACAUAGUACAUAUGUUAGUAGGCCGCAUUGCUCAACUGAUGCAACAUGUGGUUUUGAGAUAGGAAACUGCCGUGUGUUAUCCGUGUUUCCCUGUUAAUAGAUUGGUAAUUUUACCAAUGUCAAACGAGUGCUAAUAAACUGUUAUUUGAAAGUAGACAAAAGCUAGUCACACUUAGCGACUUGAUCUGUUGUGGAGUAAUGCUAUUAGAUAUAUUGUGCAGUGGUAUCCGUCAUUAAGUGAUGUUGAAGUAAACGGUCAACGUACUGAUUUUGUAUCUAAGAAAUAAAUAAACAGUAAUGUUUAACUGUUCUUUCUGUAUUUUUUAAAUGCUGUUUUAACUUUAUUAACUUAAAAACAAUAUUGACACGUGUUAAGGAAUAAAACCAGAGACCCAUGGGCCUUAACGCUCACCUGAUAUAUUUAUA